This 253-nucleotide ribosomal RNA is filed under the name uncultured bacterium. RNAcentral describes it as "partial 16S ribosomal RNA". It matches the Rfam family "Bacterial small subunit ribosomal RNA", at positions 524 to 776 of the family's 1533-position model. The record is from RNAcentral.
UACGGGGGGGGCAAGCGUUGUUCGGAAUUACUGGGCGUAAAGGGCUCGUAGGCGGCCAACUAAGUCAGACGUGAAAUCCCUCGGCUUAACCGGGGAACUGCAUCUGAUACUGGAUGGCUUGAGUUCGGGAGAGGGAUGCGGAGUUCCAGGUGUAGCGGUGAAAUGCGUAGAUAUCUGGAGGAACACCGGUGGCGAAGGCGGCAUCCUGGACCGACACUGACGCUGAGGAGCGAAAGCCAGGGGAGCAAACGGG